GCCAGGCAUGGUGGUGCAUGUCUGUAAUCCCAGCUACUAGGAGGCUGAGUCAGUAGAAUGGCUUGAACCUGGGAGGUGGAGGUUUUAGUGAGCUGAGGUCACACCACUGCACUCCAGCCUGGGUGACAGAGUGAGACUCUGNNNNNNNNNNNNCAGAGUCUCACUCUGUCGCCCAGGCUGGAGUGCAGUGGCCGGAUCUCAGCUCACUGCAAGCUCCGCCUCCCGGGUUUACACCAUUCUCCUGCCUCAG
This 250-nucleotide non-coding RNA is filed under the name Chlorocebus sabaeus (green monkey). Lineage: Eukaryota; Metazoa; Chordata; Mammalia; Primates; Cercopithecidae. The record is from Rfam by way of RNAcentral.